Non-coding RNA from Pelobates cultripes (western spadefoot toad), 206 nucleotides. NCBI's taxonomy places the organism in Eukaryota, Metazoa, Chordata, Amphibia, Anura, Pelobatidae. The record is from the annotation of a GenBank genome assembly.
AGUGUCCCCAGCAGCCUUGUGCCAUUGCGCUGCCCGCAGCCGCUCUAUGCCAUCCCUCUGCCACCAACCACCUUGUGCCAUCCCUCUGCCACCAACCGCCUUGUGCCAUCCUUCUGCCACCAGCACUUGCCCAGGUACCCAGAUGGAAUCCCCUGCACUUGCUCUGCACCCAGAUGGCUGGAAUCCCCUGCACUUAUCCCAUGACC